AGUGAGAUAGCUGGGUCAAAUGAUGGUUCUAUUCCAAGUUUUCUAAGGAAUCUCCAUACUGCUUUCCAGAGUGGUUACACCAUUUUGCUGUGCCACCAGCAAU
This 103-nucleotide microRNA precursor is filed under the name Marmota monax (woodchuck). The record is from RNAcentral. Lineage: Eukaryota; Metazoa; Chordata; Mammalia; Rodentia; Sciuridae.